RNAcentral lists this unclassified non-coding RNA (330 nucleotides) under soil metagenome. RNAcentral describes it as "partial contains 5.8S ribosomal RNA, internal transcribed spacer 2, and large subunit ribosomal RNA". The stretch from base 1 to 120 matches the Rfam family "5.8S ribosomal RNA", at positions 35 to 154 of the family's 154-position model. The record is from RNAcentral.
GAUGAAGAACGUAGCGAAAUGCGAUAAGUAGUGUGAAUUGCAGAAUUCAGUGAAUCAUCGAAUCUUUGAACGCACAUUGCGCCCCUUGGUAUCCCGAGGGGCAUGCCUGUUCGAGCGUCAUUUCACCACUCAAGCCUGGCUUGGUGUUGGGCGACGUCCUCUUUGGGGACGCGCCUCGAAACGCUCGGCGGCGUGGCACCGGCUUUAAGCGUAGCAGAAUCUUUCGCUUUGGAAGUCGGGGCCCCGUCUGCCGGAAGACCUGCUCGCAAGGUUGACCUCGGAUCAGGCAGGGAUACCCGCUGAACUUAAGCAUAUCAAUUAAGCGGAGGA